This 72-nucleotide transfer RNA is filed under the name Medicago truncatula (barrel medic). Its description in RNAcentral is "tRNA-OTHER". The record is from RNAcentral. Lineage: Eukaryota; Viridiplantae; Streptophyta; Magnoliopsida; Fabales; Fabaceae.
GUGAGCUUAGCUCAGUUGGUAGGGAUAAUGCAUAAUAUAUGCAAGGUCUGGGUUCGAAUCCCAGACACCACC